UUGGAAACGGGUGGUAAUGCUGGAUGCUCCAACUUGACGCAUGUCUUGUUGGGAAAGUGUUUAGUGGCAUGGGAUGGGGUCGCGUCCUAUCAGCUUGUAGGCGGGGUAAUGGCCCACCUAGGCUUCGACGGGUAGCCGGCCUGAGAGGGCGGACGGCCACAUUGGGACUGAGAUACGGCCCAGACUCCUACGGGAGGCAGCAGCG
RNAcentral lists this ribosomal RNA (205 nucleotides) under uncultured Gardnerella sp. RNAcentral describes it as "partial 16S ribosomal RNA". It matches the Rfam family "Bacterial small subunit ribosomal RNA", at positions 150 to 356 of the family's 1533-position model. The record is from RNAcentral. Lineage: Bacteria; Bacillati; Actinomycetota; Actinomycetes; Bifidobacteriales; Bifidobacteriaceae.